CCUACGGGUGGCAGCAGUGGGGAAUAUUGCACAAUGGGGGAAACCCUGAUGCAGCGACGCCGCGUGAGUGAGGAAGUAUUUCGGUACGUAAUGCUCUAUCAGCAGGGAAGAAAAUGACGGUACCUGACUAAGAAGCCCCGGCUAACUACGUGCCAGCAGCCGCGGUAAUACGUAGGGGGCAAGCGUUAUCCGGAUUUACUGGGUGUAAAGGGAGCGUAGACGGCUAAUCAAGUCAGGAGUGAAAACCCAUGGCUGAACUAUGGAACUGCUUUGGAAACUGUGUAGCUGGAGUGCAGGAGAGGGAAGCGGAAGGUCUAGUGUAGCGGGGAAAUGCGGAGAUAUUAGGAGGAACACCAGUGGCGAAGGCGGCUUACGGGACUGUAACUGACGUUGAGGCUCGAAAGCGUGGGGAGCAAACAGGAUUAGAGACCCUUGUAGUC
This 440-nucleotide ribosomal RNA is filed under the name uncultured bacterium. RNAcentral describes it as "partial 16S ribosomal RNA". It matches the Rfam family "Bacterial small subunit ribosomal RNA", at positions 338 to 795 of the family's 1533-position model. The record is from RNAcentral.